UAUACCAAGCAUCUUUUUGGCGAUAGGUGAUUUAGGCGAGGUCUCUUUUCUUUAUAAUUUUUAAUACUUGUGUGCGCGUGUGUGUGCAUGCGUGUAUAUAUAUAUAUAUAUAAAAAUGUAGUUAUUCACAAAAAAAAUAUUAAAACACUAACAUCUAAUCGAGGGGAAGCGAAAAUUCGAGGACUUAACUGUAAUUGAAGACGCGUUUUGCAUUGGAUCUAAUUCGAUGGUGUGUACCUCAUGCUGUGGCUGGUGGUUGUAGCUUGGAGGCACGAGCUAUCUUUUUGUUGUUCUUUACUGUAUUUAUGAUACUUGAGGCAAGUUACCAGCGCAGAUGAAGCUGAGCCUUGAAUGAAGAGCUGGAAACUGCCUUGUUGUGAAUGUAUGAACAUCACUACGUGCUGCAAUCUGCUACUUACAGACUUCUGCAGACAAGCAAUCAUCUGCAUUUUUUUUUGUUUGACACCUCAUAACAUACCUUUCAUAUUUUCUUACAUCUGGCUGCUGUUGAGACAGGGCAGGCUGAUGAUGACGUCACAGUUAUCAAGACCACUUCCCUGCCUUCUUUUUGUUUUCACUGCAGUAUACAUGAGCACUGUUUCCCAUUGUCAUUCCCAAUGACAAUAAACAAGUAUAUUGUA
Molecule: long non-coding RNA, 641 nt
Organism: Hippocampus comes (tiger tail seahorse)
Lineage: Eukaryota; Metazoa; Chordata; Actinopteri; Syngnathiformes; Syngnathidae
Exons: 2
Source: RefSeq, a predicted model, not a curated record